GACGAACGCUGGCGGCGUGCCUAACACAUGCAAGUCGAACGAACAGAUGGGAAGCGCUUGCCCUUUCCGGUAUUGAGUGGCGAACGAGUAAGUAACACGUAACCAACCUGCAUGCAUGGGGGGACCAACAGACGCAAACGACUGCUACUACCGAUAAAGUGCCAAGAGCGGCACAGCCCAUGGAAGAGAAGGUGGCCUCUCCCUGUGAGCUAUCGCCUGAAGAGGGGUUAGCGGCUGAUUAGCUGGCUGGAGGGGUCACGGCCGUCCAAGGCGACGAUCGGUAGCCGGUCUGAGAGGAGGGACGGCCACACUGGGAACGGGACACGGUCCAGACUCCUACGGGAGGCAGCAGGUGGGGAUCUUCCGCCAUGGGCGAAAGCCUUACGGAGCAACGCCGCGGGAGGGGUGGCGGCCCUCGGGUUGGAAAACUCUGUUUUCCGGGACGAAAAGACAGUGUGAGAAGCUCAAACUGCAUUGACGGUACCUGAUAAGCAAGCCACGGCUAACUACGUG
This 513-nucleotide ribosomal RNA is filed under the name uncultured bacterium. Its description in RNAcentral is "partial 16S ribosomal RNA". It matches the Rfam family "Bacterial small subunit ribosomal RNA", at positions 28 to 507 of the family's 1533-position model. The record is from RNAcentral.